UUUUAUGCCUGGGGGUGCCGUUACAAUUGGUGGCAAGCAACGGAAUGGUUCUCACAGCCCAGAAGGACAGCUACAAGGCAACCACAUUUCCUCGAUUUAUAAUUUGAGGGCAACGCAUGUCUCAGUACAGCGACCCUGAACUGAGCAGGAUUGAACCAGGCUGGACCCAAACAGAAGUUCCAUAUGAGAAGGAAGACCUGGAUGGCCGGGAUGGUACCAGGCACUGGAUAAC
Non-coding RNA from Pelobates cultripes (western spadefoot toad), 232 nucleotides. The record is from the annotation of a GenBank genome assembly. Lineage: Eukaryota; Metazoa; Chordata; Amphibia; Anura; Pelobatidae.